RNAcentral lists this small RNA (3424 nucleotides) under Histoplasma capsulatum G186AR. RNAcentral's name for it is "hypothetical RNA". Lineage: Eukaryota; Fungi; Ascomycota; Eurotiomycetes; Onygenales; Ajellomycetaceae. The record is from RNAcentral.
CUGCGAUGGAAAUCAUCUAACUUGUGUCCAAUGGCCAGGGGAGGAUCACGCAAUUUGACAUAACCACGAACAGGUUCCAUGGUCAAACCCGACAGUGGUAGAGCUACAAAGGGAACCAAGCUAAGGGCCGCCAGCGUGUACCACAGCCGCCCUGCAGCAAUCCUCCUCCGUUGCAAGAACGCGCUGCAGCAUUUGAACCAACCCCCUGGUCCAUUCCAGGAGCUGUCGCAAUGCAUCAACAAAGUCAUGGUAUUUUCAACCUGCCAGGUGCGAUCGUGGAGCAUGCUAGCUUCGAUACCAAGUAGGCCAUACUUUGAAAAGUUCAGGCCAAAUACGCCGACAAGGAACCAGGAGUAGUAUAUCCAAAGCUCAUUGGAGAAGCCAAAUUUGAGUGUAUGUCCUUCUCUCGUCUGGAUCAAUUUCCAGAUAAAAGCGAAGUAGGCCAGGACUAUUAUUGGGCCAAAAAUCACUGCCACAGCUCGAAGGGGGAACCUGCGUAACUUAUAGCUCUUGCGUUUGUCAUGGCUGAUUGCCUUGGCUGUGUUUGUCGUGACGGAGUCACCGUUUGUGACAUUCAGUGGCCUAGUGCAGAGGUUAAUGAACAAGUUAUCUUGAAACCUGCUGACUCCCGCCGCACAUUCCCAGGGCUCACGAUAUUUCUCUUUUCUCCUUUCUCCCAGGAAAAGCACUUACUCGAGCUCUGGUUCUGGUAGAUGAUCGUGACGAGGUGUUGUGGUCAUGUUUCAUAGAUUACUGAGGUUGAAUGGGGUUGAAUCGGUCCCCAGGAGCACACAAUGGUCAUCAGGAAAUGGCCCUCCUCCAGCCCUGGAGGUGUUGCUUUGGAAGACAUUGCUCAGGAGAUUUAAUCCUUUUCCUGCACAGAUUUUUUGUCGCUCGCAACGUUGCAAGUCAAAUCUUUAAAUAGUUGCAUCCCAUUCCUGCAACAAUUGAAGAUUGCCAGUUUACCAAUCACAGAGCCGCUGGCGGGCUAUAUUGCCUAAUAUGGCGAAGUCCAGCUCCACUCGGGGUAUCAGCAUCAAAACGGCUCAGGGCUAUUUUCGAUCCAAACCAGGCUGCUAUUCUUCUUUGGUAUGAUGAGAGGAGAAGGAGAUGGGGCCAAAGAUGUCUUGGGCUUCUCAAGAUUCCAAAAAUAGAGUCAGUUCGUUCUCGCGCCAACUUCGCCAAGCACACUGACAUCGGGCGUAUUUGUUGCAUGGAGAGCGCAAUUUCAUGCAGGCAUGGCUUGAGUAGCUGCAGGACAGGCGCAGACACUCGAAUACGAGUGGCCAGACUAAGCACGGAGGCCAAUCAAAUGAAUCUGCUUGGAUGCAGGAGAACUCCUCCGAGAGGAUUGGCGGGGAUGAUGUAUAUUGAAAUCAUUUUAUCUGAAUUGAAUCAGAAGGAUGAUAAUGACUGGAAAGGAUAUCGAAGUCCUGUACACUAUUUGGAUCGUGAACUCAUCUCCAAUUUUGAAGGGGAUUUGAAUUCUCGACCUUAAUAAUUACAUUCACAAUAUUUCGGAUGCAGAAGGACAACAAGGCCCGUGAACGUAACAGAUGCCAGCACAGUAAAAGAAAUUCAAACAAGACGCAUACAAAAAGAACAGAAUGAAAAAAAAAAAAAAAAAAUGAAAAUGAAAAUGAAAUUAGACCACUCCGGAGCGAGAAAAGGCAAAUAUGGAUAUAACCAGAGGGGGAAUUAAAAAGAUAAACAAAUGCUGAAUCUUUUAUGCAUCUAACUAUGUUACAAUUCAUCCUUAAGAUGGGCGCGGGUGGGCUUGCCGCUGUCUUUAUCAAGAUUCACGCCGUUCUUCUUGCGCCAUUUUUCGAAUAGCGCGAAGAAGUCCUUUUCCAUCCCUUUCUCCAUUUGGUCUGGGAGGACGACAGUGUAUUCGACGUAGAGAUUACCAUACUCUUCGCCGUGGUCAUGAGCAUUCAUAUGACCAUCGUGCCAGAUGGGCAUGCCUUCACCUUUUAUAGUUUCGACGGAGAGGGGUUGAACUACCUCACCCCGUUUCCGACGCAACUGGACGACAUGGCCGUCCAGGUGUGUGAUGUUGCGCGUCCAGUCUCCCAUCCAUGCUUCUCGGAGACUGAGAACUUCUCUCCAAAACAAGUCGUUAUCCUUCCGUCGGAAGAACGUACCAUCAGUUCGGUCGUUCUCGGCUUCGGAAAUCGCUGGUUCCCUCUCCUCAAGAUUAAUAACCAGAUCGCCGGCUAUCCAGUCGGGGCUUUCGUCUGCCUCGUUUUCAAACGUUAUCUUGGUUCCUUUGGGCAUCCCCCUCUCUAUCGUCACUGAUAUUGGGACGGCUUUCUUCACAACGCGCUGACCAUGGCAUACGGGACAGGGACGCCGUAUUGUCUUCCCUUGUCCGCCACACUUAUCGCAAUGCAUUUGAACCUGCUGGAAAAUCCCCGGGGCCAGCAUAUGCUUUUUAAUCACCGCUCCCCUACCUCCACACUGAUGGCAAGUCUCGACCUCCCCAUCAGCAGACCCAGUCCCCUCGCAAGCUUCGCAGAUCUGUUGUUUUUCCACUUCAAAAGUCGCCUCUCUGCCGUUAUAGAAAUCCCUGAGAGGCACUGAGAGGCGAACUUCCAUAGCAGGCCCAUGGCGUUGGCCGGGGGAAUGGCCAAAAUGUCCACCUCCUCCGAAGAAGCGCGAGAAAAUAUCGAAUGGGUCAUGUGUUCGUCCUCCGCCUUGCUUAUGCUGCUCUAGCCCUUCAUGUCCAUACUGGUCGUAAAUUUUCCUUGUCGAGGGAGUGGAUAGGACAUCGUAUGCCUCGGCAAUAUCGACAAAUUUCUGAUGCGCCGAAUCGUUUCCGCUAGAAGGGGAGAGCAAAAUGUGCGAAAUUAGCAAAUGGUCAUGAACGGGAGUUCUGAGCGGAGAAUUUAGGGAAAAAGGGGAACAAGCGCAUACGGAUUUUUGUCAGGAUGGAACUUUUUACUUAGCGUCCGAUAAGCUUUUUUUAUGUCACGAUCAGACGCGGACCUGUCCAGUCCCAAAAUUCUGUAGUAGUCCUCCGCGCACAGCACGACGGGGAGGAGCACGAGUACGGAAAACCCCAGAAGAAAGGGGAACGCGAGCAUGGCUGAACCAGCCUGGUGUCUCCAAGCCGCGAAUUUUUAUCUCCCCCAAUGUCUCAAUGAGGUGUACCGUGUAUAGGAACCCGGUUUGUGCUACCGUGGCAAUUCUAGGAUUUGGUCAACGAUCGGAGGUAUAAAUCCGCCCAUUCGAAUGGCCCAUGUAAAGAAACAUAAAUGAGAAGGGUAUCCACGAGUGACAAAAUAGUGCCGAAACUAAAAGGGCAGCGUAUAGUGUUUAUUCUAACAUUGAGAACCCCACGUUAAGAAAAACAUUAGGAGCUGGAGGAGUGAAGGAGUGUGUAAGUAAAUUAGAUGACAUCUGGCAGCUUUCAGGUGAUUCU